GCCGUAGCUUAGUGGUAGGAAAUCUGUGUUGCAUGCAGAAGGUCCCAGGAUCAAUCCCUGACAUCUCCA
This is a non-coding RNA of Podarcis lilfordi (Lilford's wall lizard), 69 nucleotides long. Lineage: Eukaryota; Metazoa; Chordata; Lepidosauria; Squamata; Lacertidae. The record is from the annotation of a GenBank genome assembly.